Molecule: ribosomal RNA, 440 nt
Filed under: uncultured bacterium
Lineage: Bacteria
Description: partial 16S ribosomal RNA
Rfam family: Bacterial small subunit ribosomal RNA
Source: RNAcentral
CCUACGGGAGGCAGCAGUAGGGAAUAUUGCUCAAUGGGGGCAACCCUGAAGCAGCAACGCCGCGUGGAGGAUGAAGGUUUUCGGAUUGUAAACUCCUUUUGUUAGAGAAGAUAAUGACGGUAUCUGACGAAUAAGCACCGGCUAACUCCGUGCCAGCAGCCGCGUGAAUACGGAGGGUGCAAGCGUUACUCGGAAUCACUGGGCGUAAAGCGCGCGUAGGCGGGAUAGCAAGUCAGAUGUGAAAUCCUAUGGCUUAACCAUAGAACUGCAUUUGAAACUGUUAGUCUAGAGUACGGGAGAGGUAGGUGGAAUUCUUGGUGUAGCGGUAAAAUCCGUAGAGAUCAAGAGGAAUACCGAUUGCGAAGGCGACCUGCUAGAACAUAACUGACGCUGAUGCGCGAAAGCGUGGGGAGCAAACAGGAUUAGAUACCCCAGUAGUC